UACGUGCGGGGCAAACGUUGUUCGGUGUCACUGGGCUUAAAGGGUGCGUAGGUGGUUGCGUAAGUCACGUGUGAAAUCCCCCGGCUUACCCGGGGAAUUGCGCGUUAUACUGCGUAACUUGAGGACUGUAGGGGAAUGGGGAACUCCAGGUGUAGCGGUGAAAUGCGCAGAUAUCGGGAGGAACACCAGUGGCGAAGGCGGCUUUCUGGUCUGCUCUUGACGCUGAGGCGCGAAAGCUAGGGUAGCAAACGGG
RNAcentral lists this ribosomal RNA (253 nucleotides) under uncultured bacterium. Its description in RNAcentral is "partial 16S ribosomal RNA". It matches the Rfam family "Bacterial small subunit ribosomal RNA", at positions 524 to 776 of the family's 1533-position model. The record is from RNAcentral.